GGUUAAAAAGCUCGUAGUUGGAUUUCUGUCGAGGGUGGUCGGUCCGCACUAUGUGCGUGUAUCUGAUUCGGCCUUGGCAUCCUCUUGGGGAACGUGUCUGUGCUUGAUUGCAUGGUGCGGUAUUCAAGACUUUUACUUUGAGGAAAUUGGAGUGUUUACGGCAAGCAUACGCUUUGAACAUAUUAGCAUGGAAUAAUAAUAUAGGGCCUGCGUUCUAUUUUGUUGGUUUCUAGAGCUUGGGCAAUGAUUAAUAGGGAUAAUUGGGGGCAUUCGUAUUAACGCGUCAGAGGUGGAAUUCUUGGAUUGCGUUACGACGAACUACUGCGAAAGCAUUUGCCAAGGAUGUUUUCAUUGAUCAAGAACGAAAGUAUGGGGAUCGAAGACGGUUAGAUACCGUCGUAGUCUAUACCAUAAACUAUGCCAACUAGAGAUGGGAGGUCGUUUAUUUUAUGACUCCUUCCGCACCUUAUGAGAAAUCAAAGUUUUUGGGUUCCGGGGGGAGUAUGGUCGCAAGGCUGAAACUUAAAGGAAUUGACGGAAGGGCACCACCAGGAGUGGAGCCUGCGGCUUAAUUUGACUCAACACGGGA
RNAcentral lists this ribosomal RNA (589 nucleotides) under uncultured marine eukaryote. Its description in RNAcentral is "SSU rRNA". It matches the Rfam family "Eukaryotic small subunit ribosomal RNA", at positions 617 to 1210 of the family's 1831-position model. The record is from RNAcentral.